RNAcentral lists this ribosomal RNA (720 nucleotides) under uncultured fungus. RNAcentral describes it as "SSU rRNA". It matches the Rfam family "Eukaryotic small subunit ribosomal RNA", at positions 340 to 1064 of the family's 1831-position model. The record is from RNAcentral. Lineage: Eukaryota; Fungi.
CCUACCAUGGUGGUAACGGGUAACGGGGUGUUAGGGCACGACACCGGAGAGGGAGCCUGAGAAACGGCUACCACAUCCAAGGAUGGCAGCAGGCGCGCAAAUUACCCAAUCCCGACACGGGGAGGUAGUGACAAUAAAUAACAAUACGGGGUUCUUUAGGAUCUCGUAAUUGGAAUGAGUACAAUUUAAAUCUCUUAACGAGGAACAAUUGGAGGGCAAGUCUGGUGCCAGCAGCCGCGGUAAUUCCAGCUCCAAUAGCGUAUAUUAAAGUUGUUGCAGUUAAAAAGCUCGUAGUUGAAUUUCGGGGUUAGUAGGUUGGUCAUGCCUCUGGUAUGUACUGGUCUCACUGAUUCCUCCUUCCUUAUGAACCGUAAUGCCAUUAAUUUGGUGUUGCGGGGAAUUUGGACUGUUACUUUGAAAAAAUUAGAGUGUUUAAAGCAAGCUAACGCUUGAAUACAUUAGCAUGGAAUAAUGAAAUAGGACGUUCGAUCUUAUUUUGUUGGUUUCUAGGAUUGACAUAAUGAUUAAUAGGGAUAGUUGGGGGCAUUAGUAUUCAAUUGUCAGAGGUGAAAUUCUUGGAUUUAUUGAAGACUAACUACUGCGAAAGCAUUUGCCAAGGAUGUUUUCAUUAAUCAAGAACGAAAGUUAGGGGAUCGAAGACGAUCAGAUACCGUCGUAGUCUUAACCAUAAACUAUGCCGACUAGGGAUCGGAUGAUGUA